AUAACCUUUUCCUCUGCAGUAUUUUUGAGCAGUGGCUCCGAAGGCACCGUCCUCUUCAAGAAGUUUAUCCAGAAGCCAAUGCACCCAUUGGACAUAACCGGGAAUCCUACAUGGUUCCUUUUAUACCACUGUACAGAAAUGGUGAUUUCUUUAUUUCAUCCAAAGAUCUGGGCUAUGACUAUAGCUAUCUACAAGAUUCAGGUAAAGUUUACUUUCUUUCAGAGGAAUU
RNAcentral lists this long non-coding RNA (229 nucleotides) under Homo sapiens (human). RNAcentral describes it as "long non-coding RNA NONHSAT023550". The record is from RNAcentral. Lineage: Eukaryota; Metazoa; Chordata; Mammalia; Primates; Hominidae.